CGUGUAGGCGGCCUGCUAAGUCUGAUGUGAAAGCCCGAGGCUCACCCUCGGAAGUGCAUUGGAAACUGGCAGACUGGAGUCCCGGAGAGGAGGGUGGAAUUCCUGGUGUAGCGGUGAAAUGCGUAGAUAUCAGGAGGAACACCGGUGGCGAAGGCGGCCCUCUGGACGGUGACUGACGCUGAGACGCGAAAGCGUGGGGAGCAAACA
RNAcentral lists this ribosomal RNA (207 nucleotides) under uncultured bacterium. RNAcentral's name for it is "partial 16S ribosomal RNA". It matches the Rfam family "Bacterial small subunit ribosomal RNA", at positions 568 to 774 of the family's 1533-position model. The record is from RNAcentral.